Molecule: transfer RNA, 72 nt
Filed under: Pangasius djambal
Lineage: Eukaryota; Metazoa; Chordata; Actinopteri; Siluriformes; Pangasiidae
Description: tRNA-Glu
Source: RNAcentral
UCUCUGGAGGACUAGUGGUUAGGCCACAGCGCGCUCACCGCUGCAGCCCGGGUUCGAUUCCCAGUCACCGGG